RNAcentral lists this ribosomal RNA (605 nucleotides) under Staphylococcus epidermidis. RNAcentral's name for it is "bacterial SSU rRNA". It matches the Rfam family "Bacterial small subunit ribosomal RNA", at positions 191 to 784 of the family's 1533-position model. Lineage: Bacteria; Bacillati; Bacillota; Bacilli; Caryophanales; Staphylococcaceae. The record is from RNAcentral.
GGUUCAAUAGUGAAAGACGGUUUUGCUGUCACUUAUAGAUGGAUCCGCGCCGCAUUAGCUAGUUGGUAAGGUAACGGCUUACCAAGGCAACGAUGCGUAGCCGACCUGAGAGGGUGAUCGGCCACACUGGAACUGAGACACGGUCCAGACUCCUACGGGAGGCAGCAGUAGGGAAUCUUCCGCAAUGGGCGAAAGCCUGACGGAGCAACGCCGCGUGAGUGAUGAAGGUCUUCGGAUCGUAAAACUCUGUUAUUAGGGAAGAACAAAUGUGUAAGUAACUAUGCACGUCUUGACGGUACCUAAUCAGAAAGCCACGGCUAACUACGUGCCAGCAGCCGCGGUAAUACGUAGGUGGCAAGCGUUAUCCGGAAUUAUUGGGCGUAAAGCGCGCGUAGGCGGUUUUUUAAGUCUGAUGUGAAAGCCCACGGCUCAACCGUGGAGGGUCAUUGGAAACUGGAAAACUUGAGUGCAGAAGAGGAAAGUGGAAUUCCAUGUGUAGCGGUGAAAUGCGCAGAGAUAUGGAGGAACACCAGUGGCGAAGGCGACUUUCUGGUCUGUAACUGACGCUGAUGUGCGAAAGCGUGGGGAUCAAACAGGAUUAGAUA